RNAcentral lists this long non-coding RNA (1860 nucleotides) under Hordeum vulgare. Its description in RNAcentral is "long non-coding RNA (HVUL_LNC007122)". The record is from RNAcentral. Lineage: Eukaryota; Viridiplantae; Streptophyta; Magnoliopsida; Poales; Poaceae.
UCUGUGUGCUGGUCCAGGGGGUUACUCAUGUCGGUUAGCGACAUCUAGAUGUCUCGUGAUAAACACGGGGGGUCAAUGUCUUCGUGUAGCUCCCUGGUAACGGGAAAGCCCUUGACUCCUUUAAAGUGAGUGAUCUACCGUCGUAGGUGCCUUGUUCCCCGAGAGUGUUGAAGUGUCUCGUCGUAAGCUUCUCAUCGAGACCUUCUACUUGAGUAGUGGCCCAUGUAUGUCCUUCAUUUGUCUUCAGCCAUUUGUCUUUUUCAUCACGGACGCACGUUUCCAGCAUGUCUUUGGAUGCUCGACCUUCUAGCCUCUUCGUAGAUACCUCUGAAAGAGUCUGGGUUGGGCCUCGUCCAUAAAACUAAGCCUAGAGACAGGGGUUUCACCAUGGUCCAGUCAUGAUUUACGUCCUUGAUUGGGAAAAGGGGCUCUUUGAUUUCUCUUAUUGUCCAAAGGCUUCAUCGCGCUUGAACGUUGAUGCUGCUUGACCUAGUUGAUGUAGCCGGCAGAUGAGCAACGGUUGACUCCUAUUUCUUAUUCUUCAUUUUCGUGGCCACUCAAUCGUGGCGGUUCUUAACCUUGCUUGGGUAGGGUUGUCUUCUGCUGCUUGGAGGGUGCUUCGAGGAGCCCAUCUCCCUCAAGGUAAAACCUUACGCUUGAGAGGCAUGGCGAUCGGGGUUUUUGAGGGCUUAUCCAAACAGGACUAAGGUGCUUCUAACUUUUCUUGGACAAAUAAGAUUGUCAUCCCUGAGGACAACACCAUAUUUCUCCAUUCAUCACACAAGCAUUAUGCUCAUGGAAUGUAUGAGAGGAGUGAGCACUUGCCCUGGGUAGUUACUUGCCCAGGGUUUUAGUGGUGGUCGAGACAGAGUAUUUGCUAUAGUCUAAUGACUUAGAUCCAAGACCUAUGGUCACAAUCUGACCAUAUUAUGGCUAGGAAAAGCUCUAGGGUCUUAAGUAACUUAGGAUGUGAGUGAACAUCCAUCACCUUAUCCUUGAGCUCACUUUCUUAUAUGCCAAUAGUCCUACCAAAUCAUCCAAACUGAAUCAUCCAAUGUCAUAAAAGGUACCACGCCAUAUGUCAACUCCAACAUCACUAUGCUACUCAACUCCAAGGUUUGAAAGAAGGACUAAACCAAAACCACAUAAUCAUACUAUAACUAACUCAUGCGUAUCCCGAUGUAAAAAUCCUUGGGAAGCAUAUGAGAUGCUAAGCUUGACUAAGAUACUACCAUCCAAGUGCUUAGUAAAAUUAUCCAAGGCUAAGGUACUACAUUUCAAUGCUAAAGAAACACGUAUUAUACCAAUAUGAUAUCUUGUUUCCUUCCUACGAAUCCAAUCAAGUGGUCCAUCAAUCUCAUCAACCAUCAACUGACCCAUUACUCUUACAAAUCUGAUAUGGAUGGGGUUCUACCUAUUCUCCUAGAGUUCUCAUAAUCCACAUAUCAUUGCAAGGACUAUGUCAUAGUACACCCAACAACUUUCCAUACCACGACCAACUAAACUCCAAGGUCAGGAUUAUAUAGGUUUGUAAAUCAAUUGGACGACUCCAAUCACUUCUACUAUUACCCAUGGGGGAACAUGGUAUCAUAAUCAAGAUCAUCGGACCAAAUCUAAUUUACUCUGAACCAUGUGGUCUCAUGCACCAUCGACACUCUAUUAGGACUACCUAUUUACAUCCAAAUCACACGGCCAGAAGAACUCCUACUUGCUACUCCAAGUCAUUAUUAAUCCAUGACUUCUACCUGACAAAGUCAAUUUAUUAUACGAGUAAGAGUCUUAGCUCGUAAUCAUAAUUGUCCGACUGAAUCCAACUUACUCCUGGAACAUGCAGGUUAUGCUACUUUAUCAGUUUAUUCC